Molecule: ribosomal RNA, 301 nt
Filed under: uncultured bacterium
Lineage: Bacteria
Description: partial 16S ribosomal RNA
Rfam family: Bacterial small subunit ribosomal RNA
Source: RNAcentral
CAGCCGCCGCGGGAAUACGUAGGGUGCGAGCGUUAAUCGGAAUUACUGGGCGUAAAGCGUGCGCAGGCGGUUGUGUAAGACAGGUGUGAAAUCCCCGGGCUUAACCUGGGAACUGCGCUUGUGACUGCACAGCUAGAGUAUGGCAGAGGGGGGUGGAAUUCCACGCGUAGCAGUGAAAUGCGUAGAGAUGUGGAGGAACACCGAUGGCGAAGGCAGCCCCCUGGGCCAAUACUGACGCUCAUGCACGAAAGCGUGGGGAGCAAACAUGAUUAGAUACCCCAGUAGUCCCUGUCUCUUAUAC